GUGGGGAAUCUUGCGCAAUGGGCGAAAGCCUGACGCAGCCAUGCCGCGUGAAUGAUGAAGGUCUUAGGAUUGUAAAAUUCUUUCACCGGGGACGAUAAUGACGGUACCCGGAGAAGAAGCUCCGGCUAACUUCGUGCCAGCAGCCGCGGUAAUACGAAGGGGGCUAGCGUUGCUCGGAAUUACUGGGCGUAAAGGGCGCGUAGGCGGACAGCUUAGUCAGAGGUGAAAGCCCUGGGCUCAACCUUGGAAUUGCCUUUGAUACUGGCUGUCUUGAGUUUGGGAGAGGUGAGUGGAACUCCGAGUGUAGAGGUGAAAUUCGUGGAUAUUCGGAAGAACACCAGUGGCGAAGGCGACUCACUGGCCCAAUACUGACGCUGAGGCGCGAAAGCGUGGGGAGCAAACAGGAUUAGAAACCCUAGUAGUCC
RNAcentral lists this ribosomal RNA (425 nucleotides) under uncultured bacterium. RNAcentral describes it as "partial 16S ribosomal RNA". It matches the Rfam family "Bacterial small subunit ribosomal RNA", at positions 354 to 796 of the family's 1533-position model. The record is from RNAcentral.